Molecule: long non-coding RNA, 2338 nt
Organism: Amphiprion ocellaris (clown anemonefish)
Lineage: Eukaryota; Metazoa; Chordata; Actinopteri; Pomacentridae
Source: Ensembl
UUUUUGUAAUAUUUUUUAAUGUUGUUUUUUUGUCUUUUUUGUCUGACUUUCGUUGUUUGUCUCAUGUUUUUAUUGUUUUUGUAACCCAGGCCAUGUCGGGCUCCAUUUCCGGUGCCGCUCUUAUUUUCCCGGGCCAAGUUCCUUUUACAUAGCCCGGUCCCAUAUGCCACUUCCUGUCUGUCACUGCUCUGUACUCAGCCCUGUCACAGCAUCACGCUGUAUCUGGCGUUUGUUUGACUUUCCAAAACUGCUCCGAACUCCGACUAAAAGUAGCAAUUGGGCUAAAACAGCUCCACGAAACUCCUCAUCCUCUCAUCUACCUCUCUGGCGAUCGAUACAUCUCCCCGUAUCCUGGCGGAUCCUCGUAUUAAAACCCCCCGUGUUCGCACUACUCAUCGGUCAGGUUUUUUUUUGUUGUUGUUUUUUACCCCCUUUCCUUCUGAAUUAAUUCUCCUUGAUGGCGAGCUAUCCCGUCCCCUACCUCCUGCUGAGGUAGGACACCUUUUGUUGUUUCAUCGAACCUGGAUCAAGGAUUAUUUUGUUCAUGGACACUGAACUGAAAAAAAGACUUUGAAUUCCGAACCUCUCAAAAGGAGGCUUUGAACUGAACUUUGAGCUGUAAUUCCCGACCUGGUGAUCUUUUGUUUGGUUUUGAACUUUCGAACUGUAUUGGUUUUUGUUUUAUAAUUAAUAUACAUAAUAUAAUAUUAAUACCAUAACUAAUAUUAUAUUAUACUAUAUUAAUUGAUUAUACCUGUUUAUUAUCUAUAUAUUUAUAUUAAACAUACCUCAUACUAUUUCACCCUUACUAUUGUUAUUGUUACCCUGGUUAUUAUACAAUACCUUUUAUUUAUACGCAAAUCCAAUUACAAAUUUGGAAAAAAUGACUGACCGACCGAAAAUUGUCCUCCAAAUAAGACCUGGGUCAUUUUAGGAUUGUAAACUUAUUACAGAAGUUGUGCAAAUAAUAGGUUCCUGUGUGCAAAAUGAAAUGCAUCUUAUUUGUUUCAAUGCAGGAAAAUUCUUUUGAAGUGCAGGUUGGUUUCAGCUGGAAGCCACACGAGGGCAGCACUUACACAUUUUCUUUUCUAAUCCAGCUCACAUCCUCUAACAGCAGCAUCAGAAAUUGCUUUAUGAUUAUUAUAUCCUUGUAAGCAAAUUGUGGGUUUAAAAGCUACUGUAGAAAGUUUUCUGUAGCUUGAGUCAGACAGUCAUGUUAUUCUGUUUUAUGGUGAAUCAUCUUAAAGAGCCAGAAGACAUGUGCAGCUGUUGCAUUUAAAAGCAUUUAUACAGCAGAGAAACAAUUGUAGUCAUGUGUUUGUUUUUUAUUUUCGGGUGUGUAGCGGUGGAGAAGGAAGCAGCAGCUGAAGUGCGUUAGGGUUUCCUGCAGGAGAGAGGAGGGAUGGUGGCAUUGUCAUCACAGCAGGCAUUGUUGUUUGGCAGGUCCACCACCAAUGCAGUGACAGCUGUGGAUUACCUGAAACAGAACAGAGGACUCGAACCUGCAGCCUCUGAGUUGCUAACCGUUCCUCCAUCUCACUGAGCUAUUCCUCCACACCCCUGCACAUUGACUUUUUGUGUCUGUGUCUCGUUGACCCCCACCGCAGUCCCUGUUGCAGUGGGUCCUUUCAGGCUCCUGGAAUCGAACCCACAUCCUCAGUGUGUGAAGCUAUAUCCGAGAUGCAUGUGCUAUACUACUACACUACCAAGCCGUGUGACAAUCGGAGCCUUUCCCAUUGUGCUUUUGGUCAAACCUUUCAGUCCAGUUUCUUACUAUAAUAAGUUAGUAGAGAAAGUGUCUUUAUAGUUACAUCGGCUCUUGGGUCAGAAAAUUCAAGUAUGUGCAGGUAAAGAUGUGUGAGGAGUUUAGAGAUGGCAGGAGUCAUCCUCACUAAUUCAGCUUCCACCUAGAAAUAGAAAGAUCACAAACAAACACACUGAUACUCUCAAACGUUCAACCUCACAACCUCAAAAUAUCUGUUUAGGAAGUGUUGUGUUUCUAAAUUGUGCUGAAAGCAUUGACAGACAUUCUCUUACAAGGUUGUGUAAAAAGCAGCCUGUCCUCUGAGCUACUGAGAAAUCUUCCUGAAUAAAGUUUCUACGUGUAAAUCAGCUCAACAAAAACUAAAGCCUCAGUCAGAGAUAACAGGUAUCGCAAAUUAUAAACAACUUUCUUUGUUAACUCAGACUUUCUGCUUCAACCUCACAUAAAAAGGGGAGUUUAACUCAUCAGGUGACUGAAAAUGAACGGCUUGUGCAGUUCUAGAUCCAAAAGUAGGAUGUUUCAUCUCAUGUUUUACUACAAAUACAUGCAGUAAUAAAUAAAUACAAUGGCUGG